RNAcentral lists this unclassified non-coding RNA (242 nucleotides) under Glomus sp. RNAcentral describes it as "partial contains 5.8S ribosomal RNA and internal transcribed spacer 2". The stretch from base 1 to 71 matches the Rfam family "5.8S ribosomal RNA", at positions 84 to 154 of the family's 154-position model. The record is from RNAcentral. Lineage: Eukaryota; Fungi; Glomeromycota; Glomeromycetes; Glomerales; Glomeraceae.
GUGAAUCAUCAAAUCUUUGAACGCAAAUUGCACUCUCUGGUAUUCCGGAGAGUAUGCCUGUUUGAGGGUCAGUUUAAAUAAAAAUCGGUGUGUUUGCCGCCUUUCGUGGUGACGCACCGGAUUUGGUUCUUCUUGCCUUCGGUUCAGUGACCUAAAAUUUUGCAUGAUCUUUUUCGAACGUAUUUAACUGAUUGUACUUACGUUUGCGAUAUCGAAUACUAGGUGUGGUCACCCUCAUGAAU